GCUCAGAUUGAACGCUAGCGGGAUGCCUUACACAUGCAAGUCGAACGGCAGCACGGACUUCGGUCUGGUGGCGAGUGGCGAACGGGUGAGUAAUGUAUCGGAACGUGCCUAGUAGCGGGGGAUAACUACGCGAAAGCGUAGCUAAUACCGCAUACGCCCUACGGGGGAAAGCAGGGGAUCGCAAGACCUUGCACUAUUAGAGCGGCCGAUAUCGGAUUAGCUAGUUGGUGGGGUAACGGCUCACCAAGGCGACGAUCCGUAGCUGGUUUGAGAGGACGACCAGCCACACUGGGACUGAGACACGGCCCAGACUCCUACGGGAGGCAGCAGUGGGGAAUUUUGGACAAUGGGGGAAACCCUGAUCCAGCCAUCCCGCGUGUGCGAUGAAGGCCUUCGGGUUGUAAAGCACUUUUGGCAGGAAAGAAACGUCAUGGGUUAAUACCCUGUGAAACUGACGGUACCUGCAGAAUAAGCACCGGCUAACUACGUGCCAGCAGCCGCGGUAAUACGUAGGGUGCAAGCGUUAAUCGGAAUUACUGGGCGUAAAGCGUGCGCAGGCGGUUCGGAAAGAAAGAUGUGAAAUCCCAGAGCUUAACUUUGGAACUGCAUUUUUAACUACCGAGCUAGAGUGUGUCAGAGGGAGGUGGAAUUCCGCGUGUAGCAGUGAAAUGCGUAGAUAUGCGGAGGAACACCGAUGGCGAAGGCAGCCUCCUGGGAUAACAC
This 723-nucleotide ribosomal RNA is filed under the name Achromobacter piechaudii. Its description in RNAcentral is "bacterial SSU rRNA". It matches the Rfam family "Bacterial small subunit ribosomal RNA", at positions 22 to 740 of the family's 1533-position model. The record is from RNAcentral. Lineage: Bacteria; Pseudomonadati; Pseudomonadota; Betaproteobacteria; Burkholderiales; Alcaligenaceae.